RNAcentral lists this ribosomal RNA (716 nucleotides) under Streptococcus sp. HGH0361. RNAcentral's name for it is "bacterial SSU rRNA". It matches the Rfam family "Bacterial small subunit ribosomal RNA", at positions 72 to 774 of the family's 1533-position model. The record is from RNAcentral. Lineage: Bacteria; Bacillati; Bacillota; Bacilli; Lactobacillales; Streptococcaceae.
AGAGGAGCUUGCUCUUCUUGGAUGAGUUGCGAACGGGUGAGUAACGCGUAGGUAACCUGCCUUGUAGCGGGGGAUAACUAUUGGAAACGAUAGCUAAUACCGCAUAACAAUGGAUGACCCAUGUCAUUUAUUUGAAAGGGGCAAAUGCUCCACUACAAGAUGGACCUGCGUUGUAUUAGCUAGUAGGUGAGGUAACGGCUCACCUAGGCGACGAUACAUAGCCGACCUGAGAGGGUGAUCGGCCACACUGGGACUGAGACACGGCCCAGACUCCUACGGGAGGCAGCAGUAGGGAAUCUUCGGCAAUGGGGGCAACCCUGACCGAGCAACGCCGCGUGAGUGAAGAAGGUUUUCGGAUCGUAAAGCUCUGUUGUAAGUCAAGAACGAGUGUGAGAGUGGAAAGUUCACACUGUGACGGUAGCUUACCAGAAAGGGACGGCUAACUACGUGCCAGCAGCCGCGGUAAUACGUAGGUCCCGAGCGUUGUCCGGAUUUAUUGGGCGUAAAGCGAGCGCAGGCGGUUUGAUAAGUCUGAAGUUAAAGGCUGUGGCUCAACCAUAGUUCGCUUUGGAAACUGUCAAACUUGAGUGCAGAAGGGGAGAGUGGAAUUCCAUGUGUAGCGGUGAAAUGCGUAGAUAUAUGGAGGAACACCGGUGGCGAAAGCGGCUCUCUGGUCUGUAACUGACGCUGAGGCUCGAAAGCGUGGGGAGCGAACA